RNAcentral lists this long non-coding RNA (199 nucleotides) under Volvox carteri. Its description in RNAcentral is "long non-coding RNA (VCAR_LNC003633)". Lineage: Eukaryota; Viridiplantae; Chlorophyta; Chlorophyceae; Chlamydomonadales; Volvocaceae. The record is from RNAcentral.
ACGCCUCAGAGAUGGCGCAACAACGGCACAGAGAUGUAUAACUAUGCCAAGAGCACUUCUGGUGAUGUGCACUGUUAUGCUUUAAUGCGAUGCAUCACGCUUCCGUACAACAAGAGUUGGGCAGCCAUGUAGGCUUGAGUCACAAGCAUGUCACAGUCGCGAACCUUUCAGUAGUAUUACAUAACUACCCAAUUUCAUU